Long non-coding RNA from Peromyscus maniculatus bairdii (prairie deer mouse), 585 nucleotides. RefSeq lists it as uncharacterized. The record is from RefSeq and is a predicted model, not a curated record. Lineage: Eukaryota; Metazoa; Chordata; Mammalia; Rodentia; Cricetidae.
CCUUGCCCAAAGCUUGGGGAGGCAGCACAGGCCACUCAGAUCAGCGUGGCUCUGGUGACAGCAUGGCCCUCAGAACAAUGGCUUUUUUAUGGGAUGUCUUCUGAGAGGGAAGGCUGGGAAAGAGCUGAAGAAAGGAAAGCCAAAGAAUGCUCAGGUCAAGACCUGGCGGUCGCCACUUGUUGGUGUCACAGUGAGUGAGUGAACAAGAUUAAGAAAGUGACGUCAAGAGCAAGAUGAAUCAUAAUCUUGGAAGUGGCUCUUCAUUGUGCAAUUUUACCUCUUCUGUCCUCUAGGAAGUGAUCUACUACCUUCUGCUUCUACUAGAGAUGAUACAUCCCAGAGCAGGCGGUGUCACAGAGGUUGCUUUUGUCCUUGUUUUCUCCCCUUUCCAUGUUGUCCCUCUCACAAUUCCAGAUUAAUUGGCACAGGCCUCUAACUGACUCAGUCUGGGUCAGGGACUUGCUCCAGUCAUCUGUUGUGGAGGCCGCAGUCACAGGAUAUGUAGUCUCCUGGUUUUGACAGUCAUAGUGAAACAUGAAGGGGACCAUACUGGAAAGUAUCAAAGAACAUGGAGCAGAGUAGACU